RNAcentral lists this long non-coding RNA (1713 nucleotides) under Delphinapterus leucas (beluga whale). RNAcentral's name for it is "lncRNA (ENSDLEG00000016575.1)". The record is from RNAcentral. Lineage: Eukaryota; Metazoa; Chordata; Mammalia; Artiodactyla; Monodontidae.
AUGACAGUUUUCCUUUCCAUGUUUGCUGAUGACCGCGCGGGUCGGAGCAGGAGGGGCUGCCCAGCGAGAGCCCCGGGGCCGAUUCUAAUCUCCGAUGGGCCCCAGCUGCCCGCGUCCGGGGGAGCGGCCGAGGUCCCGGGGAGGCCGGCCACAAAGCCCGGCUGGGCUGGAGCGCGAGGACAGCGGACCGCGGUUGCCACGAGCCCCGCGGGGCGCGCAGCUCGGCGGGGGCGGCUCCGCUCGGCCGGGCCCGAGUUCGCUGGGGGACAACUUACUGUGUUCGCUCUGCGUCCACACUGCCAACUCCCAAGUGGGAGGGGGGAAACAGCAAAAGCUGUGUCGCGUCCGAGAGUACAGGCAACAAAAGAGGAGAGAGAGGGGAGGCGGGGAGGAAGGGAGGCAGGGAGACGGGAGCGCUACCCCGUGCUCCCCGAGAGCGCCCCUCGGAUGCUGAUGGGGAGCCCCUCCCGGAGCGGCGGCCCUUUCUCUGGGCCCCCUCCGGCCCGCUGCUCAGACAGCCCGAGCGCCCGUUCUCUGGCUGCGAGCUGCCCCAGUCUUCCCGGUCUACUAAGUAGAGCACAUCUGCCAUGAAACAUCAGCAGAGAAUGACUUCAUUAAAUAUUACUGUUUUCUGCCUUCACAACAAAACCCUCAAAUGGUGGAAGCGUCCAGGAGGGCAACCAAACUCAUUCUGAGCUGCAAAGGGCUCCUUGCAAAAUUCAACCCGUUGCUGUGCUACUGGUCCCCCGUGAGUAGUGACCCACUGGCUGCUUGUCCAGUUUGAACAAUUGUUACAACAGCAUCUCUAAUACUGGUUUUCGCAGAAGCUUGAGACAACAUAUUUGUGGAUUAGAAACAAUCUUCGAGGCUUGUGAAAUUUGCCCAACAGUCAAUAAUAAUUCAAAAUGAGAGACAAAGGAGGAUAUGUCAUAAGCCUUACAUUCCUUUUUCCCGAAUCCAUUCCUUUGCUUUGAUGUACAUAAUGGAAGUACAAGAUUUUAACCUAUUUGACAUUCACUUUGGAAUUUUCCCCUUCUAUAAUUUUUAAAUUCCCUUGAAAAAUCUCAGGGACCAUUGGUUUUCCUAUUAGUACCAUCUGCUGGUCUGGACAUUCUGACUGGGUUCUGGUUUGUAAGCUUCAAUACACUGAAGAAAACUUAGAACAGGUUUUUAAAGCAAUGAAAAAAAUCUUCACUCAGAGACUUUGUUAAAUGACUUUUCCUUCACACGCACCUUGUAUUUGUCAUAUUUCCAUUUUACUUACCCCCAAAGCAAUAAUUACCAUGACUCCUAGUCAUUCAUAUGUCUAUUCAUAUCUGUUAUAUUACUUUGUAUUGUAUGUUAUUAUAAUGUAUUCAGGCUGACAGGUUGACUUUUUAUUUCCCUUGUUAUGAAAUUUUGGAAAGUUAACGUUAAUGUUUAAUUAUGUAAUCUCCAAGAAGCAAGUUUCAAAUCUACAGGAUAAAAAAUUUGAUUAUUUGAACAUUUCAUAUGUGGUUUAGGUGAACUCUCCUCAACCUCAGAAAAUAAUAUUUACAUUUAUUUCAAACACUAUUAAACAGGUGGAUUGAUUUUGAACUGGUGAGUCUUGUUUUGAAGUAUUUAGUUAUACAGAUACUUACAACUAGUAUCUGUGUAUUAGUCAUAUCUAGUUAUCAGCAGUUUUUUCUUGUGGUUGUCUGUAGUCUACGAUUGAGGCCUUCCAAUAUCCCA